This 74-nucleotide transfer RNA is filed under the name Solirubrobacterales bacterium. Its description in RNAcentral is "tRNA-Arg". It matches the Rfam family "tRNA". Rfam says of the family: Transfer RNA (tRNA) molecules are approximately 80 nucleotides in length. The record is from RNAcentral. RNAcentral also lists the same sequence under 1 other name. Lineage: Bacteria; Bacillati; Actinomycetota; Thermoleophilia; Solirubrobacterales.
GCCCCGGUAGCUCAGCUGGAUAGAGCGUCCGCCUCCUAAGCGGAAGGCCGCUGGUUCGAAUCCAGCUCGGGGCA